UGGGUGACCUGCCCUCAGCUCUGGGAUAAGCCUGGGAAACUGGGUCUAAUACCGGAUAUGACCUCUCAUCGCAUGGUGGGUGGUGGAAAGUUUUUUCGGCUGGGGAUGGGCCCGCGGCCUAUCAGCUAGUUGGUGAGGUAACGGCCCACCAAGGCUAUGAUCUUUAGCUGGUCUGAGAGGACGAUCAGCCACACUGGGACUGAGACACGGCCCAGACUCCUACGGGAGCAG
Molecule: ribosomal RNA, 231 nt
Filed under: uncultured bacterium
Lineage: Bacteria
Description: partial 16S ribosomal RNA
Rfam family: Bacterial small subunit ribosomal RNA
Source: RNAcentral